Molecule: non-coding RNA, 555 nt
Organism: Theobroma cacao (cacao)
Lineage: Eukaryota; Viridiplantae; Streptophyta; Magnoliopsida; Malvales; Malvaceae
Source: RefSeq, a predicted model, not a curated record
UUCAUUAGUAAUCUAUUGGUAUAUAUUAGAGAAUUAGCUCAGAGUUCUGCUCAUAUACCUUUUCUUCUCACUUAAAGAAAAAGCAUCUUUUCUUCUUUCACCUAGAACUGUAAUGGAUCAAUGAUGUAGCUUACAAGGAUUCACUACGGAUUCACUUGUCGAGUCAUUUCAAAAUUAUAACCUGAAGUGGAUUUGAAGGAUCUGUACACAUGGUCCCCAUGCUUAUACAUGAAAUGAAAGGGCAUCUGGAGCAAGGGGUAGAGACUGUUGCAAAUGUGCUGUAGCCAGGAGCUUUUGGAGACAACCAACUGAAACUUCUGCCAGACUGAUGCUCAAAACAAAGAUCAAACUGGCAGAGUGAUGAAGACAUUGGAAUGAGAUGUCAAAUUAGAGUACUGAAGCUAUCUCUUGCUUGCAUGUAUUUGAUUCAUCUGUUACAUUUACUUAAUAUAUAGCUUUAUUUGGUUUGCAUGGAUGACUCUCUGGUUGCUGAUUAUCAUAACUAUGAAGAAUCUCACACCUAAAUUUGCUAUGGAAUCUAUUGGUUGGUCUUCU